Molecule: ribosomal RNA, 162 nt
Filed under: uncultured bacterium
Lineage: Bacteria
Description: partial 16S ribosomal RNA
Rfam family: Bacterial small subunit ribosomal RNA
Source: RNAcentral
UAGGGAAUCUUCCACAAUGGGCGCAAGCCUGAUGGAGCAACACCGCGUGAGUGAAGAAUGGUUUCGGCUCGUAAAGCUCUGUUGUUGGAGAAGAACGUGCGUGAGAGUAACUGUUCACGCAGUGACGGUAUCCAACCAGAAAGUCACGGCUAACUACGUGCC